UGGCGAACGGGUGAGUAACACGUGGGUGAUCUGCCCUGCACUCUGGGAUAAGCCUGGGAAACUGGGUCUAAUACCGGAUAGGACCAUGCUUUAGUGUGUGUGGUGGAAAGUUUUUUCGGUGUAGGAUGAGCCCGCGGCCUAUCAGCUUGUCGGUGGGGUAAUGGCCUACCAAGGCGGCGACGGGUAGCCGGACUGAGAGGUUGGUCGGCCACAUUGGGACUGAGAUACGGCCCAG
Molecule: ribosomal RNA, 235 nt
Filed under: uncultured Actinomycetales bacterium
Lineage: Bacteria; Bacillati; Actinomycetota; Actinomycetes; Actinomycetales
Description: partial 16S ribosomal RNA
Rfam family: Bacterial small subunit ribosomal RNA
Source: RNAcentral